CCAAUAGCGUAUAUUAAAGUUGUUGCAGUUAAAAAGCUCGUAGUUGAAUUUCGGGAUCAAUAUGCUGGUUGUGCCAUUAGUACGUACUAGUAUUAUUGGUUUCUUCCUUCUGAUGAAUCAUGAUGUCAUUAAUUUGAUGUCAUGGGGAAUCAGGACUGUUACUUUGAAAAAAUUAGAGUGUUUAAAGCAGGCUCGCGCUUGAAUACAUUAGCAUGGAAUAAUGAAAUAGGACGUUUGAUUCUAUUUUGUUGGUUUCUAGAAUUGACGUAAUGAUUAAUAGGGAUAGUUGGGGGCAUUAGUAUUCAAUUGUCAGAGGUGAAAUUCUUGGAUUUAUUAAAGACUAACUACUGCGAAAGCAUUUGCCAAGGAUGUUUUCAUUAAUCAAGAACGAAAGUUAGGAGAUCGAAGACAAUCAGAUACCGUCGUAGUCUUAACCAUAAACUAUGCCGACUAGGGAUCGGAUGAUGUUAAUUUUUAAUAACUCAUUUGGCGCCUUAC
This 498-nucleotide ribosomal RNA is filed under the name uncultured Glomeromycotina. RNAcentral describes it as "partial small subunit ribosomal RNA". It matches the Rfam family "Eukaryotic small subunit ribosomal RNA", at positions 591 to 1091 of the family's 1831-position model. Lineage: Eukaryota; Fungi; Glomeromycota. The record is from RNAcentral.